Lepus europaeus (European hare) is the source of this 3204-nucleotide long non-coding RNA. RefSeq lists it as uncharacterized. The transcript has 3 exons. NCBI's taxonomy places the organism in Eukaryota, Metazoa, Chordata, Mammalia, Lagomorpha, Leporidae. The record is from RefSeq and is a predicted model, not a curated record.
CGACCUCCGGCGCUCCAGUCCGGGUGCGGACUGGUCUUCUCCGGUCCGGUCCGGUCCUCACCCGGCCGUCGCCGCCUCAGCUCUGCUUUUCUGUCAGUGGCCGGAGAGCAGCUGCCCCUGACUGGAAACAAACGCUGACUUUUCUGUCGGAAGAAGCGGCCUGAGUGUGUGUGUGGCUGAGCGUCGCUGUUUCUGCCGCGAGUGCGUGCGCGGGGGACGAGGCCCCUGCGCGGAUCCGGGCGGCCGCACCGCCGCGAAUGUGAAAGCCCAACGUUUCAACAAGCUAAGAUCCACGUUCGCUUUUCCAAAAAUGACAGGAAUGAUAAUAUCUCGAGAAUAUUCCAGUCACGUGGGGUUUGUGGUGAAACAUUUGAGAGUCGGGCUUCCAGUCUGCGAUUUACCAUCGUUCCUGAGCUUCCGAAAAUAAUCUCGAAUCGCGGCCUUCCUGAACAGGAAGGUGGAAUGGCGUGGUUGUAGUCAAAAUGGAAAGUGUUGAUUGCCCGGAACAGUGUACUGAGCAUCUGCUUUGUGUUUGCUGGUGUUCUCUCAGUAAGUCCAGUAAGCAUUUCCGAUGCUGACACACAACCAGAGGAGCCACCGUUCAGUCCAAUGCAGCCUGGACAGAAGUCUCUAGAGCAGCGGAAGGACCGAGAACAGGAGUAGACAAGACACCGAGACCUUAACCCGGCAAAGGAAAAACGUGUCCCAGGAGCUGCCCAGCACCCUCAUUCCAGAGAGGCACUGUCCCAUACCCACGAGGAAGAAAUGCUAUGACUCUGGGGCCCAGAAGAAUCUGAACAGGGUUUAGAAGCUGCCACAAGGGAACUCACCAGAGCACAACUGGGCUGUGUUGAAAUCUUCGGAGAGAAGCACCAACUGUUGGUCAUCUAAUUUCACUGCCCAUGGACAUGUGAACUGGAGCCAGAAAGAGAACUGAAAUUCAAACCAGGAAAUGAAACUAAAUAUUCUAUUUGUUAGCCACUUGAAUGAUGAUAUUUUGUGAAAACAAGCUUAAGACAUGAUUAGCAUCCUCUCUGAGUUACAGAAGCUUAACACUGUGCAUAAUUAGGGGGAAACUUAACUGGAGUUAUCAUCUAGUUUCCUUAUCCAGCCUCAAGAAACAAGGUCAUGUCUCCCAACACCGGGACAAAGUUUUAGCUUUUCCCAGCGUGGAGGAAGACCGAGGACCGACACCAGGGUGGCAGAGACCAAGUCCUGGAGCACACAAUGAACCUCUCAGCUUGGCUAUGACUGUCACAGUCUCAAGGCCAUGGGAACUCUGCCUGAGGGUUCAUCUCUGAGCCUGCCUGGAGCCCCAGUGCCCAAGAGGCAGGUGCAGGACCCGACACCAGCAUCCUGGAGCCAUCAGUGCAAUGGCAAAAUAGAAAUCAGGGAGAGCAACGGAUCAGCUCAGCCUCUCAAUUUUGACAUCACAUAAGCCCAGGACUGGGCAGGACUCCACCAAGGGAGAGCGGGGAGCCCCCCAAAUUGCUUCUGUCUAGUAUGACAGCUCAUAAAAGGAGCUUCCAUCAGCUUUUAUGUACCAGCUUUUUUUAAAAUAGUUUUUUAAUAUCAGAUUUGGUAAGCAGCUGAAGAGAGAUUUUCUUAAGUAUAAAAUUUGACAUAUCUUUAUAUCAAGAAGAGAAAUAGUGAUAACUAGAUGAAUCUUUUCUAUUUACUUCACAAUUUACCUUAAUUAAAAAAAACCGCAGAAUCAUAUGGACCCCUAGACUUUAACAGCUCAAAGUACAUCUACUGAUCAAUUGAUCAACAGAUAAGUAUAGCUUCAAAUUAUAUUUCUAUCUACUCGUCUAACUAUAGAGUUAAGCAGGUUAAAAGGUUCAAGAUAGUGUUCACUAAAUGUAAAAAGGAGUACCAUCUUCUUCCCUCUUCCUCUUGAAUUAGUGUUUUGCAAAAAUGUGCACUGUGGUUGAUCAGUGAUGUAUAAGACAACUGGAUAACUUGGAAUUGUACUGUGUAUUUCAUCAUGAGGCAUUUUCUCUGUAUUAUCAUCAUUUCCCUUCCCAUUUCCUUCCUAAUAUCGUGGGCUCCUCUGGACAGGAUCCCUGGUCUUAAAUUAACACCAUUUAUUUUUCCUAAAUUGAAUUGUCUUCAUCAACUUUAAUCUGUUUUCAUUUCAGUGAUGCCUUGACAUUUUAAUUACAAUCUAGACUCUCCUUGCUGUCCCUUUAUGUAAUUCAUUCCAUUUAGAUGUGGCUAAGGACCUCAGUAGAUCCAAAAAUAUGAAUCUUAAACUAGAUGGUUAUUUUCAUUUUGCUUUAACAUCCACAUACAGGUGGUUUAAGAGUGCCCAGUAACAUUAUUCUCUGAAGUCAACACAGACUAUGGAUCCUUCUAGAUUUUGCUUUUUGUGGCCUCCAUUCUAAAUGGAGGAAAUACCAGUUUCUGCCACAUCCUUUUGGAACCGUUGGGGCGACUUGCUCUCUUGUUUCAAGGACGCAGCAGUAUUUCACCAAAUAGCAGGCACCUGAGUAGGUUCUGCAUGGUAUUUGCAACUCCUGAAUAAAGUCUGACUUGUCAGUGUCACUGGGACACAGUAAUGGUUCUAUUGUUGGAGCAUAAUCUUUCCCUCCAAAGGCAGAUGAAGCCCUCCCUUCUGCUCACCCUCCUUCCCCCUACAGUCACUCUGUUUCCUCACCUUCUAUCCACCAUCAGCCCUCUCCAAAGUGUUGUGGUGAGUUAUUCCACUGUUGGCGCUCCGGUCAACAAGGGCCCCAAUGGAACUCAGUUCAUCAGGUGUUUCCUCCCAUCUUCCUUGGCUUCUCAAGGAUCUAGCAGUCAGUGUUCCCCCUUUCCUACACCCUCUCCUGUGUUGGAUCCCAGGACUCCACUCCUUGCCAAAGGCUCUUUGAAGACCUCUUCCAUGGGCUUCUCGGGGAGCGCUCACAAUGCCAGGUCUCCCCAGCACCCAGUUGUCAGUGCUUCCCUGCACCACACUCCACCCAGGCGACCUCACAGGUGCUGAAGCUUCCCGCACUGAGCCUUGUAUCCCACCCAUCACUGACUAUUUGCACUUGUCUUUCUCAGAAGAACUUCACACAGUUCUUAACACGUGACUGUUACAUAAUAGAAAUUCAACACAUAUUAGCUCAUUGAUAAUAUACUCACAAAGUCCCAAUAAAAAGACAGGAUACAGAAUUUCUUUCUUUGAUGAACUAAUACUUUUUGUGUACAUUAUGUGAC